Oryctolagus cuniculus (rabbit) is the source of this 20052-nucleotide non-coding RNA. The record is from RefSeq and is a predicted model, not a curated record. NCBI's taxonomy places the organism in Eukaryota, Metazoa, Chordata, Mammalia, Lagomorpha, Leporidae.
GAGGCGCACGCAGGGAGCAGGAACGCGCGGAACGCAGGACGCGGUGACGACUACGCCGGACGUGGUGACGCAGCGCGCAGGCCGCAGCGGGGGGCGGACUCUGGGCCUUUCUUCCCCUUCUGAUUUUCCCCCUCCCCCCUUUUCUCCCUCUCCGGGUCUGGUUCCCCCUUUUAUUCCCCUCACCCCCCUCCUUCCCAAGCCCCUUCCCCCUCCCCCGCCCCAGUCCCCCUGCUCCCCCGCCCUGGGCCCGGGGGAAACCCCCGCCGAGAAGAGCCCGCCCCUAGAAGCGCGCCGCCGCCGGCCGUCGGGGCCGAGCCGCAGCCGAGGGGCCGUGGGCCCGGGCGGCGGGCGGAGACGCGGGCGCCCUUCCCGCUACGGCCCGCGUGAGGAGAAUUGCUAGAGGCUGUCCACUCUCCUUUUCCCAGUGUCUCUCCAAAUUAUGAUGAUAAAAAUAAUUCUUAAUACUUCACCACAAUGGAAGAGACAAUACAUCUGAGAUAGAGAUCAGUUACAUCCAGAAACUUGAUCAGAUUCAGAUUCAGUGCUUUUGGCUACAACACUUUAUGUGGUGUCUGUUUCCAGCAGGAGGUUUGUAAUGUCUAAUUAGUCUUCCUUUUGUGAUGUUAGCAGCCAUUGCUGAUCAUUGUCUAGAUCUGGAGUGAAGUGUCCUUCUUGGUUUUAUACCUCCAAAUUAGCUCUUCUGCCUCUCUGCAGAGGCAACUACUAUUAUGCUUUUGUGCAUCUGUACAUUUAUAAGCAUAAACUAUAUACAUUCAUGCAAAUAUGUGUAUAUUCUUUUACAGAAUGGUUCUGCAUCCUGCUCUUCUCACUUAAUAUAGCUUAUAAUUGUGUCAAGAAUUUCUAGUUUAAGGCUGCUGAGUAUUACAGGAUCUAUAUGCAUUGUUUAUUACUGUCUUAGUAAAGGGAGUUUUGAUUUUCCUUCAGUCUUUCGCAGUUACAAAGAGUGCUACAUUAAUAACCUUGUACAUAGAUUAUUUUCUGUAUUUAUAGGAUUAUGUCAAUUGAGAAAUUUCUAAAAGUUAACACUUUUGUAAUUUUUAUCAAUAUUAUAAAAUUGCCUUCAAAGAUAAUAUGCAAUUUACAUUUUACACCAGCAAUUUAUUUCUCUACCAGUGGGUAGAAGAUUUGGUGUGGUAAAUAUAUACAAAAUAAUCAGUUUGAAAUAUCAGCUUUAUCCUUCUGUGUUUACAGUGAAACACUCAACACUGGAUUGUGUUUUAGCCUUGUCUUUUCAACAUAAUCAUGAACUAAGUUCCUGUGAGGGGCUGGUGCUGUGGCGCAGUAGGUUAAUCUUCUGCGUGUGGUGCUGGUGUCCCAUAUCAGUGCCGAAUCUAGUCCUGACUGCUCCUCUCCCGAUCCAACUCUCUGCUAUGGCCUGGGAAAGCAGUAGAAGAUGGCCCAAGUCCUUGGGCCCCUGCACCGGCAUGGGAGACCCAGAAGAAGCUCCUGGCUCCUGACUUCAGAUUGGCUCAGCUCCUGCCGUUGUGGCCAUUUGGGGAGUGGAGUAGCAGAUGGAAGACCUUUCUCUCUGUCUCUCUCACUAUAAUUAACUCUCCUCUCAAAUAAAUAAAAAAAAAAAUUUUUUUUUUAAAAAGUUCCUGUGAACGAAUAUAAUCUUUGCUAUCCACUAUAAGCAAAUAAUUACAUCAGAUUAACUACGUAAAGUAUUGGAGAAGACUUUCUUCUUUAAACAUUUAUUUAUUUGAAAGAGCAACAGAGAGAGAAACCUUCCAUCUGCUGGUUCACUCCCCAAAUACCUGCAACAGCCAGGGCUGGGUCACAACAAAGCCGGGAGCCAGGAACUCUUUCUAGAUCCCAUACAUAGGCCAGCAUCUGAUGCCUUCUCAGGUUCUUUUAGCAGGAAGCUGGAUUGGGAUGUUGGUGUUGUGAGUGGUGGCUUAACCUGCUGCACCACAAUGCUGGUCCCUCUCGUAAAGCUUUCUAGAGGAGAGGAGCCUUAACUGACAGGUGAGGCUGGGCAAAUUCUAGAUUAACAGCUUUUAAACAUUUUGGUCUCUGAUCUUUGUACACUUUUAGCAUUUUUUAAAUUUGAAAGACAGAGGACAAAUGUAAAACUCUCAUCUACUCAUUCAUUUCCCAAAUGCCAGUAAUAACUGGGUCUGGACCAGGCUGCAGGUCUGUAUGUGUGUCUGGAACCCAGCAACUUGAGCUAUCACUGCUGCCCCCAGCAUCGCAGAAAGCUGAGGUCAGGAGAUGGAGCCAGGAAUCGAGUCUGGGUUCUCCAGUGUAGGAUGUGGGUGUCUGAACCAACAUUUUAUUUGUUGGCCAAAUAUCCACUCUCUUAUAUACACUUUUAAAAAUUAUAGGGCUGGUGUUCAGACGUAGUAGGUAAAGCUGCCACCUAUGAUGCUGGCUUCCCAUAUAGUUGCUGGUUCAGGCCUCUGCUGCUGCCCUUCCAAUCUAGCUCCCUGCUGAUAUACCUGGGAAAGCAGCAGCAGAUGGCCUAAGUAGCUGGGCCCCUGCCACCUUGUGGGAGAUCCAGAAGAAGCUCUGGCUCCCGGCUUUCGGCCAUUUGGGGAAUGAACCAGCAGAUGGAAGAGCUCUCUCUCUGUCUCUCCCUCCCUCUCUCUCUGUAAAUUCUGCCUUUCAAAGUAAUAAAUAAAUAAUUAAAAUAAAAAUUAUAAAAGAUCCCAAAGAACCUUUCUGUAUGUGGAGUAUAUUUAUUAAUAUUUACUAUUCAAAAUUAAAAUAAUGUAUUUGCUAAUUCAUUACACAAUAAGCACAUUAAUAUUCAGUUUUUAAAAUGAAAAAACUUUUUUAAAAGAUUUUAUUUAUUUAGUUGAAAGGCAGAGAGAGAGAUCCUCCAUCUGCUGGCUCACUCCCCAAAUGCCACAAUAGUGGGAAGGGGGCCGAUCCGAAGCUAUGAGCUGGGAGCUUCUUCCGGGUCUCCCACGUGGGUGCAGGGGCCCAAGCAUUUGGGCCAUCUUCCACUGCUUUCCAAGUCUAUAGCAGAGAGCCAAAUCUGAAAGUGGAAGAGCUGAGUCUCAAACCGGUGCCCAUAUGGGAUGCUGGCACCGCAGGUGGAGGCUUAGCCUACUGUGUCACAGCACCGGCCCCCAAAAACCUGUUUUCUAAAGCAGAAAAGGUCUACUGAGAAGGAAGACUUUGUUUUACUUUUUGUUGUUGUUGCAAAUCUCUGUAAUGUCCGCCUUAAUAGAAGACAAAAUGGAUUCUUUUUUUUUUUUUUUAAGAUUUUGUUUAUUUUAUUUGAGAGGUAGAGUUACAGACAAUGAGAGGGAGAGACGAAGGUCUUCCUUCCAUUGGUUCACUCCCCAAAUUGCUGCAACACAGGAGCUGCACCAGUCUGAAGCCAGGAGCGGUCUCCCACAUGGGUGCAGGGGCCCAAGGACUUGGGCCAUCUUCUGUUGCUUUCCCAGACCAUAGCAGAGAGCUGGAUUGGAAGUAGAGCGGCCAGGACUGGAAUUGGAGCCCAUAUGGAAUGCUGGCCCUGCAUGCGGAGGCUUAUCCUACAAUGCCACAGUUCUGGCCCCUGGCCUUUUACUUAAUGUAUGAUUGGGAAAUAUGAAUCAGUCAAUUGAAAUAUACUGUUUUACUGACAUAUAGACCUCUAACUAUUUGACACAUUUCAUUAUAUUUUUAUUUAUUUUUUAUUUAAACAAAUUUUAAAGAUUUAUUUGCAAGUCCGAGUUAGAGAGGGAGUGGCAGAGGGAGAGGGAGAGGGAGAGGGAGAGAGACAUCUUCCAUCUGCUGGUUCGCUCCCCCAGAUGGCUGUAACAGUUGGAAUUGGGCCAGGCCAAAGCCAGGAGCUUCCUCCAGAACUCCCAUAUGGGUGUAGGCGCCCCAAGUGCUUUCCCAGGCACAUCAGCAGGGUGCUGGAUUGGAAGUGGAGCAACUGGGACACCAACCAGUGCCCAUAUAGGAUGCUGAUGUUGCAGGUGGCAGCUUUACUUGCUACUCCAUAAGGUAGACCCCAAGAAAGUUUUAUUUUUUUUUAAAGAUUGAUUGAUUGAUUUGAAAGGCAGAGAUAAAGAGAAACAGAGGCAGAGAGAGAGAAGUCCUUCAUUCACUUGUUCACUUCCCAAAUGGCUGCAACAGCCGGAGCUGGGCCAAUCUGAAACCAGGAGCCAGGAGCUUCUUCCAGGUUUCCCAUGUGGGUGCAGGAGCCUAAGGACUUGGGCCAUCUUCUACUGCUCUCCCAGGCCAUAGCAGAGAGCUGGAUUGGAAGUAGAGCAGCGGGGACUCGAACCGGCGGCCAUAUGGGAUGCUGGCACUGCAGGUGGAGGCCCCAUCUGCUGUGCCAUAGCUACGGCCCCAUUACUUGAAUAUUAAUGAGACAUAUACUAAGGGGUAGAAACUUAACAAAAUUACCAACUUUUAUUGUUUUACUAAGGAAAUUUUAAAGUUAUUUACUUAUUUAUUUUUUAAGAAGCAAGUGUUGGGUGGUAAAGAACAUAUUACUUAGGGACAGCGCUGUGGCAUAGCAGGGAAAGCCACUGCCUGCAGUGCCAGCAUCCCAUAUGGGUACCGGUUCGAGUCCUGGCUGUUCUACUUCCGAUCCAGCUUUCUGCUAUGGCCUGGGAAAGCAGUAGAAGAUGGCCCAAGUCCUUGGGCCCCUGCAUCCACAUGGGAGACCUGGAAGAAGCUCCUGGCUCAUGUCUUCGGAUCGGCACAGCUCUGGCCGUUGCAGCCACCUAGGGGAGUGAACCAGCAGAUGAAAGACCUCUCUCUCUCUUUGCUUCUCCUUCUCUCUCUUUGUAACUCUUUCACGUAAAUAAUAAAUAAAUCUUAAAAAAAAAGAACAUAUUACUGGUAUAGUUUGAUAACCCUGCCUUCAUUUAUAGAAAGGCACUAUCAGUUUACCUUCUGAUGCUUUUGUCAAUAUGAUGAAAAAAGCGAAUAAAACUUCAGUAUUAUUUUGAAAAAAUAACAUUUGAUGUUAUGAAACCUAUUUGACCUCUUAGACCCAAUCCUGAGAUCACACUUUUGAGAACUGUGUUGUAGAUAGGUGGUACAUACCUAGAGAAACUGAGGUGAGAAAAAGCAUAGCUUUUUUAGAUCAGUUACACUAAUUUGUUAUGACAAGUCAGAGUACAUGGUGAGAGAAAAAGAAGAUAGUUAAGUUCCAGAUCGUAAAGGGACAAGAGUGCAGAUUUAUCCAAUAGGCAGGCAAAGAGGACCCUUUAAGAAUAUAUAUGUAUUGGGGCCGGUGCUGUGGCAUAGUGGGCAAAGCUUCUACCUGCAGUGCUGGCAUCCCAUAUGGGUGCUGGUUUGAGUCUCUGCUGCUUCACUUCCAAUCCAGCUCUCUGCUAUGGCCUGGAAAAGCAGUAGAACAUGGCUCUUGAGCCCUUGCACCUUUGUCAGAGACCUGGAAGAAGCUCGUGGCUCCUGGCUUUGUUUCAGCACAGCUCCAGCCAUUGUGGCCAUCUGGAGAGUGAACCAGUGUAUAGAAGACCUCUCUCUCUCUGCCUCUGCCUCUGCCUCUCUGCAACACUGCCAGCGCUGUGGCAUAGCAGGUAAAGCUGCCGUCUGCUGUGCUGGCAUCCCAUAUGGGUGCCUGUUCGAGACCCGGCUGGUCCACUUCUAAUCCAGCUCUCUGCUGUGGCCUGGGAAAGCAGUAGAAGAUGGCCCAAGUCCUUGGGCCCCUGCACCUGCAUGGGAGACCCAGAAGAAGCUCCUGGCUCCUGGCUUUGGAUUGGCUCAGCUCUGGCCGUUGCAGUCAUUUGGGGAGUGAACCAGUGGAUGAAAGACCUCUCUCUCGCUCUCUCUCUGCCUCUGCCUCUGCCUCUCUGUGGCUCUGCCUUUCAAAUAAAUAAUAAAAUAAAACUUAAAAAAAUUUUAAAAAUAUGUAUGUAUUUAUAUUUUUCAAAGAUUUUUUAAAAAAAUUAUUUGAGAGGCAGUUACAGAGAGAGGUCUUCCAUCCACUGGUUCAAUCCCCAAAUGGUUGCAAUGGCCAGGACUAGGCUGAUCUGAAGCCAGAAGCUUUUCCCAGAUCUCCUAUGUGGGUGUAGUGGCCCAAGCACUUGGGCCAUUUUCCACUGCUUUCCUAGGCCUUUAGCAGAGAGUUGGACCAGAAGAGGAGCAGCUGGGAGAAAAACUGGCACCUAUAUGGGAUACUGGUGCCACAGACGGAGGCUUAGCCUACUACGCCACAGCACCAUCCCCUCAAAGAUUAUUCUUGUUUUACUGUGUCUGUGGAGGCCAGUGGUCCCAAACUAAGGCAUGGAGCCUUAGAGGGUCAGGCUGUAUAGAUUGGUGCAGAGGUCACAGCAUGUCCUUCCUGAAGACAGAACUGAGCCUGCAGCAUUUGUUGGGUGGCUGGAUGGACAAAAAUAAAACCAGCAGCUUCCAUUAAGUCUAUUGAAAGUUCCCUUAAAUCUUGUUUAGGCAGUUUUUUCUGGAAGUAACUUUGACAUAAGAAAUGUUCUGGAAUCUCUUUUGCAUAAAUGACUUCCAGAGGUAAUCACUAUUCUGACUUCUAUUUCCAUAGAUUAUUAGAGUUUUUUUAAAAAAGAUUUUAUUUAUUUGAGAGCUGGAGUUACAGACAGAGAGAGGCAGAGGCAGAGAGAGAGAGAGGUCUUCCAUCCACUGGUUCACUCCCCAGGUGGCUGCAGUGGCUGGUGCUGUGCGGAUCCGAAGCCAGGAGCCAAGAGCUUCCGGGUCUCCCAUGUGGGUGCAGUGGCCCAAGGAUUUGGACAAUCUUCCAGUGCUUUCCCAGGCCAUAGCAGAGAGCUGGAUCAGAAGUGGAGCAGCUGAGACUUGAACCGGCACCUAUAUGGGAUGCCAGCACUGCAAGUGGCAGCUUUACCCACUACGCCACAGUGCCGGCCCCCUGCUUCUUCUUUCUUUUGGUUUCCAUUUGCUUGUAAUAUCUUGUUCCAUCUUUUCAGUUUCAGUCUAUGUGUGUCGUUAGAGGUGAAGUGAUUUUCUAGUAAGCAGCAUACAUUUGGGGCUUAUUUUUUUUUUUAUUCCAUUUGGUCACUCUGUUUUUUAAUUGGAGAAUGUAGUUCAUUGACAUUUAUAAUAAUUAUUGAUUAAUAAGUUUGUAUUAUUUCUGUAUUUCUUCCUAUUUUUCAUGCUUAUUCAUUUUUUAUUGUAGUUACAUUUUGUGUGUUUUAAUUUUAUUUUAUUUAAAUAUUUAUUUAUUUGAAAGGCAGAGUAAUGGAGAAAGAAAUAUAUCUUCCAUCUGCUGAUUGACUCUCCAAAUGGCUGCAAUGGCCUGGGCUGAUCCAGGCCAAAGCCAGGAGCCCACAGCUCCUGUGGGUCUUUCAUGUGACACUCACGUAGCAGGGGUCCAAGAACUUGGGCCAUCUUCCACUGCUUUCCCAGACCAUUAGCAGGGAGUUGGAUCAGCAGCAGAGCACCUGGGAUUAGAAUAGGACAAGGCAGGUAGCUACAUUUAUUGUAGUUUCUUUCUUGUAUUAGAAUCUUCAUUUGUGGUUAAGUUAUUUUUCUCUAGUGGUGUACUUUGAUUCCUUAUUAUUUUUGUUAAGUCCAUUAUAGGUCUUUGAUUUGUGGUUGCCAAGAAUCUUUUUUUUAUUUUUAUUUUAUUUUAUUUAUUUAUUUAUUUUGACAGGCAGAGUGGACAGUGAGAGAGAGAGAGAGACAGAGAGAAAGGUCUUCCUUUACCGUUGGUUCACCCUCCAAUGGCCGCCGUGGCUGGCGCGCUGCAACCGGCGCACCGCACUGAUCCGAUGGCAGGAGCCAGGUGCUUCUCCUGGUCUCCCAUGGGGUGCAGGGCCCAAGCACUUGGGCCAUCCUCCACUGCACUCCCUGGCCACAGCAGAGAGCUGGCCUGGAAGAGGGGCAACCAGGACAGAAUCUGGUGUCCCGACUGGGACUGGAACCUGGUGUGCCGGCGCCGCUAGGCGGAGGAUUAGCCUAGUGAGCCGCGGCACCGGCGGUUGCCAAGAAUCUUAUAAAAAACUUCUUUUGGCUGUAGUAAACUAUCUUGAAAAUUAUAAUAAGUUAGCAUUUAUUAUAAAGGUAGGAAAGAGACAAAAAACAAAGAUAUAAGAAAUCCUAAUAGGAGCCAGUGCUGUGGUGUAGCGGAUGAGGCCACCACCUGCAGUGCCAGCAUCCUGUAGGGUGCCGGUUCAAGUCCUUGCUGCCCCACUUCUGAUUCAGCUCUUUGUUGUGGUGUGGGAAAGCAGUGGAAGAUGGCCCAAGUCCUUGGGCCCCUGCAUCCACAUGGGAGACCUGGAAGAAGCUCCUGGCUCAUGUCUUCGGAUCGGCACAGCUCUGGCCGUUGCAGCCACCUAGGGGAGUGAACCAGCAGAUGAAAGACCUCUCUCUCUCUUUGCUUCUCCUUCUCUCUCUUUGUAACUCUUUCACGUAAAUAAUAAAUAAAUCUUAAAAAAAAAGAACAUAUUACUGGUAUAGUUUGAUAACCCUGCCUUCAUUUAUAGAAAGGCACUAUCAGUUUACCUUCUGAUGCUUUUGUCAAUAUGAUGAAAAAAGCGAAUAAAACUUCAGUAUUAUUUUGAAAAAAUAACAUUUGAUGUUAUGAAACCUAUUUGACCUCUUAGACCCAAUCCUGAGAUCACACUUUUGAGAACUGUGUUGUAGAUAGGUGGUACAUACCUAGAGAAACUGAGGUGAGAAAAAGCAUAGCUUUUUUAGAUCAGUUACACUAAUUUGUUAUGACAAGUCAGAGUACAUGGUGAGAGAAAAAGAAGAUAGUUAAGUUCCAGAUCGUAAAGGGACAAGAGUGCAGAUUUAUCCAAUAGGCAGGCAAAGAGGACCCUUUAAGAAUAUAUAUGUAUUGGGGCCGGUGCUGUGGCAUAGUGGGCAAAGCUUCUACCUGCAGUGCUGGCAUCCCGUAUGGGUGCUGGUUUGAGUCUCUGCUGCUUCACUUCCAAUCCAGCUCUCUGCUAUGGCCUGGAAAAGCAGUAGAACAUGGCUCUUGAGCCCUUGCACCUUUGUCAGAGACCUGGAAGAAGCUCGUGGCUCCUGGCUUUGUUUCAGCACAGCUCCAGCCAUUGUGGCCAUCUGGAGAGUGAACCAGUGUAUAGAAGACCUCUCUCUCUCUGCCUCUGCCUCUGCCUCUCUGCAACACUGCCAGCGCUGUGGCAUAGCAGGUAAAGCUGCCGUCUGCUGUGCUGGCAUCCCAUAUGGGUGCCUGUUCGAGACCCGGCUGGUCCACUUCUAAUCCAGCUCUCUGCUGUGGCCUGGGAAAGCAGUAGAAGAUGGCCCAAGUCCUUGGGCCCCUGCACCUGCAUGGGAGACCCAGAAGAAGCUCCUGGCUCCUGGCUUUGGAUUGGCUCAGCUCUGGCCGUUGCAGUCAUUUGGGGAGUGAACCAGUGGAUGAAAGACCUCUCUCUCGCUCUCUCUCUGCCUCUGCCUCUGCCUCUCUGUGGCUCUGCCUUUCAAAUAAAUAAUAAAAUAAAACUUAAAAAAAUUUUAAAAAUAUGUAUGUAUUUAUAUUUUUCAAAGAUUUUUUAAAAAAAUUAUUUGAGAGGCAGUUACAGAGAGAGGUCUUCCAUCCACUGGUUCAAUCCCCAAAUGGUUGCAAUGGCCAGGACUAGGCUGAUCUGAAGCCAGAAGCUUUUCCCAGAUCUCCUAUGUGGGUGUAGUGGCCCAAGCACUUGGGCCAUUUUCCACUGCUUUCCUAGGCCUUUAGCAGAGAGCUGGACCAGAAGAGGAGCAGCUGGGAGAAAAACUGGCACCUAUAUGGGAUACUGGUGCCACAGACGGAGGCUUAGCCUACUACGCCACAGCACCAUCCCCUCAAAGAUUAUUCUUGUUUUACUGUGUCUGUGGAGGCCAGUGGUCCCAAACUAAGGCAUGGAGCCUUAGAGGGUCAGGCUGUAUAGAUUGGUGCAGAGGUCACAGCAUGUCCUUCCUGAAGACAGAACUGAGCCUGCAGCAUUUGUUGGGUGGCUGGAUGGACAAAAAUAAAACCAGCAGCUUCCAUUAAGUCUAUUGAAAGUUCCCUUAAAUCUUGUUUAGGCAGUUUUUUCUGGAAGUAACUUUGACAUAAGAAAUGUUCUGGAAUCUCUUUUGCAUAAAUGACUUCCAGAGGUAAUCACUAUUCUGACUUCUAUUUCCAUAGAUUAUUAGAGUUUUUUUAAAAAAGAUUUUAUUUAUUUGAGAGCUGGAGUUACAGACAGAGAGAGGCAGAGGCAGAGAGAGAGAGAGGUCUUCCAUCCACUGGUUCACUCCCCAGGUGGCUGCAGUGGCUGGUGCUGUGCGGAUCCGAAGCCAGGAGCCAAGAGCUUCCGGGUCUCCCAUGUGGGUGCAGUGGCCCAAGGAUUUGGACAAUCUUCCAGUGCUUUCCCAGGCCAUAGCAGAGAGCUGGAUCAGAAGUGGAGCAGCUGAGACUUGAACCGGCACCUAUAUGGGAUGCCAGCACUGCAAGUGGCAGCUUUACCCACUACGCCACAGUGCCGGCCCCCUGCUUCUUCUUUCUUUUGGUUUCCAUUUGCUUGUAAUAUCUUGUUCCAUCUUUUCAGUUUCAGUCUAUGUGUGUCGUUAGAGGUGAAGUGAUUUUCUAGUAAGCAGCAUACAUUUGGGGCUUAUUUUUUUUUUUAUUCCAUUUGGUCACUCUGUUUUUUAAUUGGAGAAUGUAGUUCAUUGACAUUUAUAAUAAUUAUUGAUUAAUAAGUUUGUAUUAUUUCUGUAUUUCUUCCUAUUUUUCAUGCUUAUUCAUUUUUUAUUGUAGUUACAUUUUGUGUGUUUUAAUUUUAUUUUAUUUAAAUAUUUAUUUAUUUGAAAGGCAGAGUAAUGGAGAAAGAAAUAUAUCUUCCAUCUGCUGAUUGACUCUCCAAAUGGCUGCAAUGGCCUGGGCUGAUCCAGGCCAAAGCCAGGAGCCCACAGCUCCUGUGGGUCUUUCAUGUGACACUCACGUAGCAGGGGUCCAAGAACUUGGGCCAUCUUCCACUGCUUUCCCAGACCAUUAGCAGGGAGUUGGAUCAGCAGCAGAGCACCUGGGAUUAGAAUAGGACAAGGCAGGUAGCUACAUUUAUUGUAGUUUCUUUCUUGUAUUAGAAUCUUCAUUUGUGGUUAAGUUAUUUUUCUCUAGUGGUGUACUUUGAUUCCUUAUUAUUUUUGUUAAGUCCAUUAUAGGUCUUUGAUUUGUGGUUGCCAAGAAUCUUUUUUUUAUUUUUAUUUUAUUUUAUUUAUUUAUUUAUUUUGACAGGCAGAGUGGACAGUGAGAGAGAGAGAGAGACAGAGAGAAAGGUCUUCCUUUACCGUUGGUUCACCCUCCAAUGGCCGCCGUGGCUGGCGCGCUGCAACCGGCGCACCGCACUGAUCCGAUGGCAGGAGCCAGGUGCUUCUCCUGGUCUCCCAUGGGGUGCAGGGCCCAAGCACUUGGGCCAUCCUCCACUGCACUCCCUGGCCACAGCAGAGAGCUGGCCUGGAAGAGGGGCAACCAGGACAGAAUCUGGUGUCCCGACUGGGACUGGAACCUGGUGUGCCGGCGCCGCUAGGCGGAGGAUUAGCCUAGUGAGCCGCGGCACCGGCGGUUGCCAAGAAUCUUAUAAAAAACUUCUUUUGGCUGUAGUAAACUAUCUUGAAAAUUAUAAUAAGUUAGCAUUUAUUAUAAAGGUAGGAAAGAGACAAAAAACAAAGAUAUAAGAAAUCCUAAUAGGAGCCAGUGCUGUGGUGUAGCGGAUGAGGCCACCACCUGCAGUGCCAGCAUCCUGUAGGGUGCCGGUUCAAGUCCUUGCUGCCCCACUUCUGAUUCAGCUCUUUGUUGUGGUGUGGGAAAGCAGUGGAAGAUGGCCCAAGUCCUUGGGCUCCUGCCUCCUAUCUUCAGAUUGGCACAGCUCUGGCUGUUGCAGCCAUCUGGGGAGUGAACCAGCGGGUGGAGGACCUCUCUCUCUCUCUCUCUGCCUCUGCCUCUCUAUAACUCUGCCUUUCAAAUAGAAUAGAUAAAUCUUAAAAAAAAAAAAAAAAGAAAAGAAAAGAAAAGAUGGAGCCAGUGCUGUGGCAUAGUGGGUAAAGCCACCGUCUGCAGUGCUAGAAUCCCAUAUGGGUGCCAGCUUGAGUCCUGGCUGCUCCACUUCUGAUCCAGCUCUCUGCUAUGGCCAAUUGGGCAGUAAACCAUUGGAUGAAAGACCUUUUUCUGUCUCUCUGGUUCUUCUCUCUAUGUAACUCUGGCUUUCAAAUAAAUAAGUAAAUCUUUAAAAAAAAAAAAAAAAGAAAUUCUAAUAAGAACUCUGUAGUUGGCCGGUGCCGCGGCUCACUAGGCUAAUCCUCCGCCUUGCGGCGCCGGCACACCGGGUUCUAGUCCCGGUCGGGGCGCCGGAUUCUGUCCCGGUUGCCCCUCUUCCAGGCCAGCUCUCUACUGUGGCCAGGGAGUGCAGUGGAGGAUGGCCCAGGUGCUUGGGCCCUGCACCCCAUGGGAGACCAGGAAAAGCACCUGGCUCCUGCCAUCGGAUCAGUGCGGUGCGGCGGUUGCAGUGCGCCGGCCGCGGUGGCCAUUGGAGGGUGAACCAACGGCAAAGGAAGACCUUUCUCACUGUCCACUCUGCCUGUCAAAAAAAAAAAAAAAAAAGAACUCUAUAGUUGUGCUAUAGUUGUGCUCCAUUUCUCCCACAUUUUGAAUUUUUUAAAAAAAUUUAUUUAAGGUACAUAAAUUUCAUCAAAUUUUGAAUUUUUGAUAAUUACAUUUGACCUUUAUCAAUAUUGCUCGUCUCUUUAACAUUUAAUUAUUAUCACUUUUAAAAAGUCUUCUGGGGCCUGAGCUGUGGCGUAGCAGGUAAAGCUGUCUGCAGUGCCGGCAUCCCAUAUGGACGCUGGUUUGAGACCCAGCUGCUCCCCUUCUGAUCUAGCUCUCUGCUAUGGCCUGGGAAGGCAGUAGAAGAUGGCCCAAGUCCUUGGGCCCCUGCACCCGUGUAGGAGACCAGGAAGAAGCUCCUGGUUCCUGGCUUCGGAUCGGCUCAGCUCUGGCCAUUGCAGCCAACUGGGGAGUGAACCAGCGGAUGGAAGACUCUCUCUCUCUCUCUCUGCUUCUCUUCUCUCUGUGUAACUCUGACUUUCAAAUAAAUAAAUAAAGUCUUCUCAGUAAAGAUAUACAUGGUUUACACAUCAUGUUUACAAGGAGCAUUCUGAAUUUAUUUGUAGAAUUACUCUUGCCAGUGAAUUACCUGCAUUCUGAUAUUUUCUCCUUGUUAGGGUUACUUUCUUUCAGUUUGAAGAACUCCCUUUAGCAUUUCUUAUAAUACCUGUCUGGUAAUGAUAAAUUCUCUCAGCAUUUGUUUAUCUAGGAGUGUCUUUGUCUUUCCCCCAAGUCUGGAUACUGUGUUUUUGGCUAGUACUUUCUUUCUUUUAGUGUUGUAGAAGGUUCAUCCUGCUCCUUCCUGGCCUGAAAAGUCUGCGGUCAGGCAAAAUGCGUUAUUUGCUUCUUUUCCCUUGCAGCUUUGAGAAUCCUUUCUUUAUCUUUAACCUUCGAAAACUUGACUUUUGGGGUAGACUUGGUUGGGUGACUCUGAAUGGUGACCUUUGACCUUCCUGUACUUGGAUGAUUCUAUUUUUCUCUAGGUUUGGGAAGUUGUCUAUCAUUAUCUCUUUGAAUAUGCUUUCUACCCCUCUGGCAUUCUCAGGUCUUUACUGAAUCCCAGUAACUCAGACAUUUGCACUUUCUGUCCUAUCCCAUAUUUUGUAUAAGCUUUUCUCAUUCCUCUUGAUUGUUUUUCUCCUUUGUGUAUUUUCAAAUAAUCUGUUUUCAAGUUCACUGAUUCUUUCUUCUGUUUGUUCUGUUCUACUAUUGAUGCCUUAUAUUGCAUUUUAAAUUCUACUUAGUGUAAUUUUUAAGUUGAAGGUUUUCUGUUUGAUUUUUAGAAAGUUUUAUUUAUUUAUUUGAAAGGCAGAGUUACAUACAGAGAGAGGGAGAGGCAGAGAGAGAGAGAGAGAUUCUCCAUCUGCUGGUUCAUUCCCCAAGUGGCUGCAAUGGCCAGAGCUGGGCCUAUCUGAAGCCAGGAGCCAGGAGCCUCCUCUAGGUCUCCCACAUGAAUGCAGGGCCCCAAGCACUUGGGCCAUGUUCCUCUGCCUUUCCAGGUACAUAGCAGAGAUCUGGAUUGGAAGUGGAGCAUCUGGGACUCGAAUUGUUUCCCAUAUGGGAUGCCAGCACUGCAGGUGGAGGCUUUAUCCGCUACACCACAGAGUUGACCCCCAAAAGAUUUAUUUAUUUCGAAAUAGAAGGAGAGGCACAGAGUGAGAUCUUAUAUCUACUGGUUCACUCCCCAGAUGGCUGCAGUGACCAGUCCUGGGCCAGACCAAAGCCAGGAGCUUUAUCUGGGUCUCCCACAUGGGUGGCAGGGGUCCAAACACUUGGGCCAUGUGCUGUUUUUUCCAGGCCAUUAACAGGUAGCUGGAUUGGAAGUUGAGCAGCUGGGACUUGAACAGGCACCCAUAUGGGAUGCUGGCAUCACAGGCAGAGGCUUUACCUGCUACGCUAUAAGACUGGCCUGUUUCUGUUUGAUUUUGUUUAAUUACUUCCUUUCCCAUCAAGUCUCUGUUAGAAUAUUGAAUCAUUUCUCUGUGUUCUGUUGAAUUUCAUUUAGUUUCCUUUAAACAGACAUUUUGAAAUCUUCAUCUGAGCAUUUGGAAAUUUCAAUUCUUAGAUAGUUGGUUUCUGACACCUUGUUUUGUUCUUUAUGUGAUGUCAUGGUUCCCUGGAAAUUAUGUUUUUUUAAAGAUUGAUUUCAUUUGUUUGAAAGGUAGAGUUAUAGAGGAGGGAGGGAGGAAGAGAGAGAGAUUGUUCUUUCAUCCACUAGCUCACUCUCCAAAUGGCCACAAUAGCCAGAUCUGUGCUAGGCCAAAGCCAGGAGCUUCUUCCAGGUCUCCCACGUGGAUUCAGGGACCCAAGAACUUGGGCCAUCUUCCACUGCCUUCCCAACUGCAUUAGCUGGGAGAUGAAUAGGAGGUAGAGCAGCUGGGACUCCAACUGGCUCCUAUGUGAGAUGUUGGCAUUGCAAAUGGCAGUGUAACCCAUUGUAACACAGUGCCAGCCCCCGGAAGUUUUUGAUGCUGUAUAAUGUCAUCUGCAUGUUCAAGGAUUAUCGUAAUCUGGCUGUCCUUUGAGAAAUUCCAAGCUGUCUAUUUAUUUAUUUAUUUAUUUGAGCCUGUGGAUAUUUCUGCUAUUUAUUUCAGCACUAGAUAGUACCCAAAGUUGCAGUUUGCUCCAGGCCCACUGUUGAUAUAUAUUUUCACUGAUUCAGUCUUAGAAUACUCCCAAACUCGAAUUUGCCCCAAAUCUAAAUUGAUGUAUUGUUCAGUGUGAACUGGCUAAGUGCCUAAAAAGGGGCAGUGCAUCCCUACAAGCCUCUUCCUGGGCCUAUGUUUGGCUUAGAUUCCUUGGUUUGUGUCCACAGAUGCCACAAUACUAGAUCACAUGUAGAGCUCUCAUCCCACCAAGACUGGUGCAGCAUGGAUAGGACCAAAGCUCACUCAGCUAAGGUCUGUCUACUCCUGAGGUGGGCUUACUGCCUGAUGCAUCAGCCUCCUGGUGAUGUUGGAUAGGGUGUAAGACUGCUGACCUGGGACCAGGAACUCUGCUGGGUACUGAAUGAAGCAGGUCCAGAGGAUCUGUGCAGGCAUGGACCUGGGUACAGGGUCCAUUAGAAUUUACUCAAUGCUGGCUUUUAUCAGCCUGGCCGAGUGCUAAACAGUUCUGUGAUUCCUGGCUGUCUGCCUAAGGUUGAAGGAAGGGUGAUAGAGGCAGUUCCUCAACUAUUCAGGCAGGCUCUAGUUGGGUCACACCUAGAUCUCACAGUCACUAGGCCUUGUGCAAUUUUGUGGUUGCACACCAGACCCAUAAGAGUUGUACAUGCUGAAAGAAGUCCGUCUCACCAGUGCACAGUUCUCUGCUGGCGCUGGGGCAAGUCCAGAGACUCCAUCCACAGGCAUUUGCCUUGGAAUGGAAACCUUUAGGAUCUGCCCAGUGUUGGGCUUUGCCAGACCAGCACUGAAUCCCAAGACACAAUUCCAUGGCCCCUUGCUUUCUGUCCAAGGUUGGAGGAGUAGUCCUCUGACUACCUAGGCUGGUCACAUCCUGUGUCCCCUAGUUACAGGUCCCUACAAAGUCCCAGGCAUGUCUGCCAAGCCCACCAGAUUCCAGCAGUGACACAUACCACAAUGAGUCUGACCUUCCCAGGGUGCAGAUCCCUGCCUGAUGCUUGAACAAUUCUAGAUGUGAUAGAGGCUUUAGGGUGUUACCAGGUCUCCAUGUGGUAGUCUGUCCUUUUUUUUUUUUUUAAGAUUUAUUUAUUUGAGAGGCAGAGUUAUAAAGAGGCAGAGAGAGAGGUCUUCUUCCACUGGUUCACUCCCCAGUUGGCUGCAACUGUUGGAGUUGUACUGAUCAGAAGGCAGGAGGCAGGAGCCUUUUCUGGGUCUCUCAUGUGGGUGCAGGGGCCCAAGGACUUGAGUCAUCUUCUACUGCUUUCCCAGGCCAUAGCAGAGAGCUGGAUCGGAAGUGGAGCAGCCGGGACUCAAACUGGUGCCCAUAUGGGAUGCUGACGCUGCAGUCCAGCAGCUUUACCCACUACGCCACAGCACCGACCCCUCUAUUUCACUGGCCCCUUUUUUUUCAUUCAUUUUAAACGAAGUGCAUGCUUGAUUUGUUUUUAUUGGCCUUGAUAUUUUUCUUUUUCAAGUUAGAACAAAACAAGCAAGGUUAAAAAAUACUUUCUGUGAUUACUUGGUGUUACCAGGUACUGAAAUUUUCAUAUUACCCUAGUAAUACCUGAACAUCUGCUAAUGUUGAGGGGACCAGUUUCUUUGCCAGGUGAUUUUUAACUUCUUUGUAAAAUUGGUAAUAGCUGGGGCCAGCGCUGUGGUGUAGCAGGUAAAACCACUGUCUGUAGUGCCGGCAUUCCAUAUUGAUGCUGAUUCGAGAUCUGGCUGCUCCACUUCUGAUCUAGCUCUCUGCUAUGGCCUGGGAAAGCAGCAGAAGAUGGCGAUGGCCCAAGACCUUGGGCCCCUGCACCCACCUGUGAGACCUGGAAGAAGCUCAUGGCUACUGGCUUUGGAUCAGCCCAGCUCUGGCUAUUGUAGCCAUUUGGGAAGUGAGCCAUCAGAUGGAAGACCUUUCUCUCUCUCUCUCUGCCUCUGCUUCUCUUUAACUCUUUCAAAUAAAUGAAUAAAUCUUAAAAAAAAACAAACAGUAAUUUCUGAGGGUUAAUAAUUCGGUCCUUUUUAUGGGCUCUUGGCUGUUAAGUCAUCUAGAAUCACUAAUAUGAGCCUGAAGUACUACUUUUUUUUUUUUUUUUGGACAAGUGCUCAAUGCAGUCAUGCAGGGCAAGGCUCCGUAGCAAGGAAAGGUGUCUGGAUUGUGGUUGUCUUGAGUAGACAGUGUUUUUAUACAUGAAAUAAACAAAAAUCUUUGGCAGGGCUCAGAUCUUAGUGACCUGUUAGCCCUUCAGGAUGAAUCAGAAUAAGUUCUACGUGAUGUGACAAGUGGCACAGUGAGCCCCUUGCUUUUUGUUGGGCCUCAUUAAGGCUGCCAUAGCCCUUAUUUUAGAGAAGAGUAAAAGUUAUUGUUCAAGAAUUCAGAUGACUUUCAAAACUGUUUUGGAGGGGAAAGGUCACUUUCAGUAUAGGUGUAUUAUUGGAAGUGACAUAUGGCUGUUUUUUUAGAUUAUAGCCAUUUUGGUAUUCCCAAACGUUAGAGUGGAUGUUUAAAACUUGUCUCCAGGCGACUAGAGGUUAGUCUAGUCAAUAUUUUUUUAAUUAAUUGUCCUGACAAGUGGAUAAUCAGAUAGUAAUCUGAUUAUUAUUAUAUUGGUAAUCAGAAUAAUAAUCCAGACAAGUGGAUUUUUUAACUGUAAUUUCUGAUUUACAUUGCUGAAACCAGUAAUAAUCUGAUAACAGUGGGAAUAUACAGGUGGCAUUUUAUUGCCAAAGCUGGAUGUUGGCCGGGUGGAAGAAUCUAGUAAAGAGGCUGUAACUGUAGGCUCCUUGGGGGUUACAAUGCAUGGAGGAUAGAAGAGAAUUAGACUUUUUCCAGAAAGUAUUCUGUUUUUAAUUAUAAUGACUACAAUUUGAUCAACAAAACCCUUAGAGCAGUCAAGUACUAGUGUAUCUUUUGAAUUAUGUUGCUCUUGAUUCUCUGACUCAGAGUUGAAGAACAACCCCUUGGUGUAGCCAGGCUCUCAGUGUGAACAACUAUGGCCACUUAAAAUGAGACACCCUGGGUAUGCCUUGAGGGCUUGUGGGGGAAAGGCAACUAGUAAUCUUUUUGUGGGUUGUAACAAGGUAUUUCAUGGGAAAAAAUUGACCAAGUGGCCAGUGUUUUAGGACCAAAGUUGGUGGUAAAAAGGUUAAUGUCCUCUAGACAUGUCUUUGCAUCCAAUUACUGCAUGUCUCUGAUGCUAAACCCUUGAAGUGCAAAGCCUGUAAAGAAACCAGAAAAGCAUCCUCAUAGAUUUCUUUGAAAGGUAUUGAGAAAGCAGACUUCAGAGGUAGACUCUUUGUGGAACAAGAUUACAAAGCAAAAUGGUGAGUUGAGAUACACCUCUCAACAUAGAACACAGUAGGACUUAGGUGUUUCCUGGCCUUCCAGGAAUAUAGACUGACUUGGGCAUGUGGAGGGUAUCAGUGGUGACACCCAGCGCUUUGGGCUCCUAAAGUAGAUUAAGAAGCACCCCUAAAGCAGAUUAAGCUCUCAAGGUGUUGUAAUAGCGAUGAUAAUAAUGAUGAUGGUGGUGAUAAAUAUUACAGUAAGGGAAGGAUAUAUUUAAUUAUGUGUUUGCAAUGCUUACUUAUACUCAUUGAAAAAAAAAUUCUGUCUCUGGCCCCUCUUCAUUUCUAUGUCUCCCCUACUAAGAGCAUCUGGGAUCUGCUUUCUUAUUUCUAGACUUGUCUUGUGUAAAAGGAUAAUGUUUUAAACAUAGCUGCAGAGAGGGUUAGGCGUUGUGGUACAGCAGGUUAGGCAGCUGCUUGACAUGCCUGCAGCCCAUAAUGGAGUGUCUGACAUCUAGGCCUGGCUCUGUUUCUGAUCCAACUUCCUGAUAACGUGCCUGGAAGAUGUUUGGGUACCUACCACCCCAUGGAGACCUGGAUGAAGUUACUAGCUCCUGGCUUCAGCCCAGCCCAACCCCUGCUGUUGUAGCUUUGGGGAACAAACCAGGAUGGAAGAUCUCUUUCUCUCUGUCACUCUACCUUUCAAAUAAAUAAAUAAAUCUUAGAAAAGGCCCAAAAAAAGGGAUUCUUUUAAGAAUAAAGUAGACCAAAGUCGGCACCAUGGCUCACUAGGCUAAUCCUCUGCCUGCAGUGCCAGCACACCGGGUUCUAGUCCAGGUUGGGGCGCUGGAUUCUGUCCCGGUUGCUCCUCUUCCAGGCCAGCUCUCUGCUGUGGCCCAGGAAGGCAGUGGAGGAUGGCCCAAGUUCUUGGGCCCUGCACCCACAUGGGAGACCAGGAGGAAGCACCUGGCUCCUGGCUUUGGGUUGGCACAGCGUGCCGGCUGUAGCAGCCAUUUGGGGGGCGAACCAACGGAAAAAGGAAGACCUUACUCUCUGUCUCUCUCUCACACACUAACUCUGCCUGUGAAAAAAAAAAAAGUAGACCAAAAUACUUUCCCUUCAGUAGAGCAGAAAGAACAAAACAAGAGUUUUUUUUUUUUUUAAUUGUGAAUUGAGAGUGGGAAUGGAACUGGAGAGUUCAGGGGAGGUACAGCAUUAUGAGAAAAAUGAACAGGGGCCUGCACUGUGGUGCAGCAGGUUAAAGCCCUGGCCUGAAGCACCGGCAUCCCAUAUGGGCGCCAGUUCUAGUCUUGGCUGCUCCUCUUCCGAUCCAGUUCUCUGCUAUGGCCUGGGAUAGCAGUAGAAGAUGGCCCAAGUCCUUGGGCCCCUGCAGCCACGUGGGAGACCCAGAAGAAGCUCUUGGCUCCUGGCAUCGGAUCGGUGCAGCUCCGGCCAUCUGGGGAGUGAACCAGUGGAUGGAAGACCUCUCUCUGUAACUCUUUCAAAUAAAUAAAGUAAAUCUUAAAAAAAAAAAAAAAGGAAAGAAUUAAAAGGAAUUGGGAAGGAAGAUAUUCAUAUAUUAAUAGAGGUGCUGCAGUGACUUUUGAAUUGAGUUAAUUUUCUUUGAGCAUCUCAAUAUAUUAA